AACGGCCAUACCAUGCUGAAUAUACCGGUUCUCGUUAGAUCACCGAAGUCAAGCAUCAUUGGGCGCGGUCGAUACUUGGGUGGGUGACCCCUGGGAACACCGCGUGCCGUU
Molecule: ribosomal RNA, 111 nt
Filed under: Caerostris darwini
Lineage: Eukaryota; Metazoa; Arthropoda; Arachnida; Araneae; Araneidae
Source: RNAcentral